CUUCCCCCUAAUCCUCUAGUGGCUGUCUCAUUGACAGCUACUAGAGGCGCUUGCGUGCUUCUCACUGUGAUUUUCACAGUGAGAGCACGCAAGCGUCCAUAGGAAAGCAUUGUAAAUGCUUUCCUAUGCGACGGGCUGAAUGCGCGCGCAGCUCUUGCUGCGCAUGCGCAUUCAUCCGGCGGGGCGGAUCGGAGGCGGAGAGGAGGAGGAGAGCUCUCCGCCCAGCGCUGGAAAAAGGUAAGUUAUUACCCCUUUCCCCCUUCCAGAGCCGGG
Molecule: long non-coding RNA, 273 nt
Filed under: Pelobates cultripes (western spadefoot toad)
Lineage: Eukaryota; Metazoa; Chordata; Amphibia; Anura; Pelobatidae
Source: RNAcentral